CCUACGGGUGGCAGCAGUGGGGAAUAUUGGGCAACGGAGGCAACUCUGACCCAGCAACGCCGCGUGAAUGAUGAAGGUCUUCGGAUUGUAAAGUUCUUUUCUAAGGGAAGAAGAACGUGACGGUACCUUAGGAAUAAGCCUCGGCUAACUACGUGCCAGCAGCCGCGGUAAUACGUAGGAGGCAAGCGUUGUCCGGAAUGACUGGGUGUAAAGGGUGUGUAGGUGGCUUAUUAAGUUAGAGGUGAAAGCCCGAAGCUCAACUUCGGAACUGCCUUUAAAACUGGUUGGCUUGAGUGUGGGAGAGGUGAGUGGAACUCCUAGUGUAGCGGUGGAAUGCGUAGAUAUUAGGAAGAACAUCAGAGGCGAAGGCGACUAACUGGAACAUUACUGACACUGAAACACGAAAGCGUGGGGAGCAAACAGGAUUAGAUACCCUGGUAGUC
Molecule: ribosomal RNA, 443 nt
Filed under: uncultured bacterium
Lineage: Bacteria
Description: partial 16S ribosomal RNA
Rfam family: Bacterial small subunit ribosomal RNA
Source: RNAcentral